AUUGAACGCUGGCGGCAGGCCUAACACAUGCAAGUCGAGCGGAUGAAGGGAGCUUGCUCCUGGAUUCAGCGGCGGACGGGUGAGUAAUGCCUAGGAAUCUGCCUGGUAGUGGGGGAUAACGUCCGGAAACGGGCGCUAAUACCGCAUACGUCCUGAGGGGGAAAGUGGGGGAUCUUCGGACCUCACGCUAUCAGAUGAGCCUAGGGCGGAUUAGCUAGUUGGUGGGGUAAAGGCCUACCAAGGCGACGAUCCGUAACUGGUCUGAGAGGAUGAUCAGUCACACUGGAACUGAGACACGGUCCAGACUCCUACGGGAGGCCGCAGUGGGGAAUAUUGGACCAUGGGCGAAAGCCUGAUCCAGCCAUGCCGCGUGUGUGAAGAAGGUCUUCGGAUUGUAAAGCACUUUAAGUUGGGAGGAAGGGCAGUAAGUUAAUACCUUGCUGUUUUGACGUUACCAACAGAAUAAGCACCGGCUAACUUCGUG
Molecule: ribosomal RNA, 484 nt
Filed under: uncultured bacterium
Lineage: Bacteria
Description: partial 16S ribosomal RNA
Rfam family: Bacterial small subunit ribosomal RNA
Source: RNAcentral